RNAcentral lists this ribosomal RNA (468 nucleotides) under uncultured bacterium. RNAcentral's name for it is "partial 16S ribosomal RNA". It matches the Rfam family "Bacterial small subunit ribosomal RNA", at positions 28 to 507 of the family's 1533-position model. The record is from RNAcentral.
GACGAACGCUGGCGGCGUGCUUAACACAUGCAAGUCGAACGGAAAGGCCCUGCUUUUGUGGGGUGCUCGAGUGGCGAACGGGUGAGUAACACGUGAGUAACCUGCCCUUGACUUUGGGAUAACUUCAGGAAACUGGGGCUAAUACCGGAUAGGAGCUCCUGCUGCAUGGUGGGGGUUGGAAAGUUUCGGCGGUUGGGGAUGGACUCGCGGCUUAUCAGCUUGUUGGUGGGGUAGUGGCUUACCAAGGCUUUGACGGGUAGCCGGCCUGAGAGGGUGACCGGCCACAUUGGGACUGAGAUGCGGCCCAGACUCCUACGGGAGGCAGCAGUGGGGAAUAUUGCACAAUGGGCGGAAGCCUGAUGCAGCAACGCCGCGUGCGGGAUGACGGCCUUCGGGUUGUAAACCGCGUGCGCCUGUGACGAAGCGUGAGUGACGGUAAUGGGUAAAGAAGCACCGGCUAACUACGUG